Molecule: ribosomal RNA, 497 nt
Filed under: uncultured bacterium
Lineage: Bacteria
Description: partial 16S ribosomal RNA
Rfam family: Bacterial small subunit ribosomal RNA
Source: RNAcentral
GACGAACGCUGGCGGCGUGCCUAAUACAUGCCAGUAGAACGCUGAAGCUUGGUGCUUGCACCGAGCGGAUGAGUUGCGAACGGGUGAGUAACGCGUAGGUAACCUGCCUGGUAGCGGGGGAUAACUAUUGGAAACGAUAGCUAAUACCGCAUAAUAGUAGAUGUUGCAUGACAUUUGCUUAAAAGGUGCAAUUGCAUCACUACCAGAUGGACCUGCGUUGUAUUAGCUAGUUGGUGAGGUAACGGCUCACCAAGGCAACGAUACAUAGCCGACCUGAGAGGGUGAUCGGCCACACUGGGACUGAGACACGGCCCAGACUCCUACGGGAGGCAGCAGUAGGGAAUCUUCGGCAAUGGACGGAAGUCUGACCGAGCAACGCCGCGUGAGUGAAGAAGGUUUUCGGAUCGUAAAGCUCUGUUGUAAGAGAAGAACGAGUGUGAGAGUGGAAAGUUCACACUGUGACGGUAUCUUACCAGAAAGGGACGGCUAACUACGUG